Long non-coding RNA from Dendrobium catenatum, 483 nucleotides. RefSeq lists it as uncharacterized. The record is from RefSeq and is a predicted model, not a curated record. The transcript is spliced from 3 exons. NCBI's taxonomy places the organism in Eukaryota, Viridiplantae, Streptophyta, Magnoliopsida, Asparagales, Orchidaceae.
CUUAUUUUCUGUUUGAAGCGCCGAAAGGCCACUGAAGGUUUUAGGCGGAAGGCUAGUAAUCAAAGAAGCGACUCGGUCUCUCUGCGCUCAAAGCACGCCGAAAACUGGCUUCUGUGAGGAAUCGAAGGUUGGUGGGACUGCUGUGAGGAAUCGAAGCCGCUCGCUGCAGACUACAGUCUCCCGUGCUCCCCACUCUCAUCAAAAAUUACUGCAUCACCGACACCACUGAUUCUCCGAUCGGCUUCUUCUCAUGUCGGAUAGUAGGUUGCUCUUCCGCCUUUCCAUUUCUUUUCCUGUAAGGUGCUCUUCUCCUCUCUGCAGUGUUCUUCUCCUCUACGGUGAAAUAUAUUGUUUGUCCAAAUUUAAAAAAUGUCUGACAAAAUAGUUAUAUUUUGGUGUGUAAAUUUGUUGGAUUCUAUUUUUAGUUUUGCUAGCUUUAUUUGGAAUUAAUCUGAAGAGAUGUUUCCUUAUAGAUAUAUAAGC